Molecule: ribosomal RNA, 494 nt
Filed under: uncultured bacterium
Lineage: Bacteria
Description: bacterial SSU rRNA
Rfam family: Bacterial small subunit ribosomal RNA
Source: RNAcentral
GGCUCAGGAUGAACGCUAGCGACAGGCUUAACACAUGCAAGUCGAGGGGCAGCGAGGGAGUGCUUGCACUUCUGUCGGCGACCGGCGCACGGGUGAGUAACACGUAUGCAACCUGCCCUUGUCAGGGGGAUAAGCGAGGGAAACCUCGUCUAAUACCGCAUAUAUGGUUUUGAGGCAUCUCUUAAUCAGGAAAGAAUUAUCGGACAAGGAUGGGCAUGCGGGACAUUAGGUAGUUGGGGGUGUAACGGACCACCAAGCCGACGAUGUCUAGGGGUUCUGAGAGGAAGGUCCCCCACACUGGUACUGAGACACGGACCAGACUCCUACGGGAGGCAGCAGUGAGGAAUAUUGGUCAAUGGGCGCGAGCCUGAACCAGCCAAGUAGCGUGAAGGAUGACUGCCCUACGGGUUGUAAACUUCUUUUGUUUGGGAAUAAAUGAUACUACGUGUAGUAUUUUGCAUGUACCUUACGAAUAAGCAUCGGCUAAUUCCGUG